CCGAGCACGCGCCAAGCCAGGCCCGCAGCCGGAAGUAAAGGGGCGGCAACCGGGCCUACUUGCAUCACUUCCGUGAGAGCGCGAGGUUCGGUUCCUGGGCGUCGCGCUACCGUAGGGGGGCGGACGCGAGUUGACUGAGUUACUCCGGCUGCAGUCGGAGUGAUUUUCUUGGGACACAUUCCUCUUUUUCCGUUCUCCUCCCGGUUUGUGUGAGGCCUGCUGACAACUCUUUCUCACUCUGACACGAAAGAAAUCGAGAAAGCGCCUUGAGGCGGGAGAGGAGCCCCGUCAGCCGAGCCGUGGAGCCGUCCGUUCCCCCGGGCCCGCCUUCGGAAGGCCGCGUGGGGCUGUGGGGAGAACGCGGGUCUGGAGUCUCGCAGGUCUGCCCGGGAACCUGGCUCCACCACCCACCUACUGUGUGACUUCGGACGAACCACUUAACGCUUCCGAGCUCCAGUCUCCUCAAACGCGAGGAGAACGGUCGUGCCUCCUCACAGGGGGCCGAGGACUCUGAAGUAACACAAGGGACGUCGGGCACGUCGCUAAGCGGUGCGAGGGGCCGAGAGAUGAACCGACUCAGUCUCUUAGGAGCUCCGGUCUCCCAGAGGCGGGAAAUAAGAGCAUAGACAAGUAAGUGUGGAGAUUGGAUAACGGGCACGGUGGAAUACUGUAGAAAGCUUCCUUCCCUCCUCAGGUCCCCAUCUGCCUCCUGGCAUCCCCGGAGGUAACCUGUGUUACCAGUUUUUCCAGUGACCUUCCAGAGAUGUCCUAGGCAUAUUGUGGAAAUAUCGAUGCUUUUUAUAGAUCGUUGGAUUUAAAUUUCAUCUUUUUUCCCCCCUUACUUCCUUUUUCCUCGUACUGUAUCUUGGAGAUUGUUCCCAGUCACUCAUCUGUUUUAAUGGCUGCAGGGCAUUCCACCAUGUAGAUAUACUGUAGUUCAUGUAGUUAUCUUUUGAUGGAUAUUCGAGAUGGUUCCGGUCUUUCUUACAACCAGCUAAGUAAGAUUUUUGAGAGAUGAAAGAAUGGAAGUAGAAGGCUUUCCAUGUCAACUGUUUUGAAAAAAUGCUCCUUUCCUAUUUCCGAAGCUGGAAAAAGAGAUAUUCUGCUACUAAUCUCUAAUAAUGGUUUGUCUUUAAUCCAGCUUUUUGAAGAAAUGUUCUUAAAUCUUUGGCACCUAUUUCUGUUUGUCUAUUCUAGAAUCUAUUAUAAAAUGGAAUUAGAUUUAGCACAGAACAAUGAAUUUUUACAUUAGGUUUGAUGUAUUAACAUUUUCUAGUAUUCUUAAAACAGUAUUGGGGCUGUAGGAUGCUCUGUCACCUGAAUAAGUUUAAGAACCAGACUUCUAGGCCAGGGAAACCAAAUGAAUUCAGGUGAAAGAACUUGGAGGUGUUUGAAAGCAAUAAGUGGCUGGAGCAGGGAUAUGCAGAGGGGAGGGACAGGAGGUGAAGCUAGAAUGAUAGGUCAGGAAUUAAUUCAUUAUCAAGCUGAAGGUUUAUACUUACUUUGGAGAAAUCAUGGCGACACAAGAGGGUGUGUGUGUGUGUGUGUGUGUUUUGGUGGCACAGUGGUUAAGAGCUUGGCAGCAGUUCAAAUCCACCAGCCACUCCUUGGAAACCUUAUGAGACAGUUCUACUCUGUCCUAUAGGGUUGCUGUGAGUCAGAAUUGACUUGAAGGUAACAAAUUUUGGUUUGGUGGCAAAUAUGUAGAUAACAAAAUAUUUGCCGUUUCAACAGUCUUCAUAUGUACAGUUCAGUGACAGUAAAUCUAUUAAGUUGUUCAGUUAUCACCAUUAACCCUUUCUAGUUUCUCAGUCAUGCUUAACAGAAGCUCAGACACAAAGGUUUUGAACUGACGAUAAGGAAGAAAAGAAGGGGGUGUUCAGUUACACUUUAGGAGUUAUUAAUCUGACAGUGGUAUUGUGGUUCUUUUAAAGAUACGACGGCAUAUGUCUACAAUUUCUUUGAUACUUUUUUUUAAAGCAGUGUAGUUUAAUUCCCUCUCCUUGAGUUAGUGACUUGCUUCUACCAAAUAAACUGUAGCAGAAGUGAUAGAAAAUAGGAUGUCACUUAAAAGACUAGGUUACAAAAAGAUUGCAGUUUACACGUUCUCUUUUUUUCCUACCUUUCUCCUUUCAUCCCUCCCUCAAGUCACUUGGUCUGGGUGAAGCCAGCUAUUCUGUUGUGGAGGAUACUCAGGCAGCUCAUGGAGAAGUCUAUGUAGCAAGGAAACCAGCAACCAUAUGAGUGAAUAUGGAAGCGGAUCCUCUCCCAGUCAAAUCUUGAGGUGACUGUAAUCUCAUGAGAGACCCUGAGCCAGAACCAUCCAGCUAAGCUGCUCCCAGAUUCCUGACUCACAAAAACUAUUAGAUAAUAAAUGCUUGUUGUUUUAAACCACUAAGUUUGGGGUAAAUUGUUUUCCAUCAAUAGAUAACUAAUGCAGAUUUAUAGACUUCCCAUCUUCAAACCUAUAUCUCCAACUGUCUAAAGGACUUCUCAGAAGUUCUACAAGGACCUCACGCACAAGUUCAAGUCAUGAACUCAUCAUCUUCCCCUCAAAGCUGCACCUUUUCCCAUGUUUUCUUUGAGCUGCCUAGUUGUCCAGGCCAGAAUGAGUCAUCCUUGCCUCCUCAUCCCCCAUAUAUAGUCAAUAAAGUCUUGACGUUCAUAUGUUUUAAAUGUGCACUUAUCCAAUUCUUUUUAUCCCUGCCACCCUGUAGGGCAGGCUAUCGUGUAUAUAUAUAUAUAUAUAUUUUUUUUUGCUUAGAUCACUGCAGCAGCCUCCCAACUUGUCUUACCUCCAAUUUUGCACCUUAUAGUCCAUUCUCCACCCUUCAGCUGGAAUGAUCUCUGAAAUGCAAAUCCGAUCAUAUCAAACCUGAUCGUGCUUAACCACAUUCACUGGAUUCUUACUCUCUUUAGGAACAGUUUAAGGCACUAAUUCCUUAAUUCGCCUUAGAUAUAUCCUAGUUUGCAUCCGUUGUCUGGUGUCCUUUCUGAUUUAGCCUUUGUCCUAGACAAAAGUUUCUCAGUUUGAAAAUAAAUUAUAUGGUCACCUUUGCAGGCCAGGCACUUUUCAUCUGGUUCUGCCCUUAUUACCUCCCCAUAUUCAUACCCUACUGCUCACCUUUUGUCUUUACGUUGUAGUUUUAACUAUGCAGUUCCCACAUGUCUUCAGACCUUCUGACACACUGUUACUUCUGGAACACUGCCACCUUCUUGCACUUCCACCCCUAAAUACACUUACUUAUCCUUCUGAUUUCUGCUUAGAGUUACUUCUGGAAAAUUCUAGCUUAGGUUCUCCCCACUCCCCAAAACAUUUAAAAUUUUUCUACCAUUAUUUGGCUUUCCCCAGUUUGAGGAUAAACUCUGAGAGGGCAGGGACUCUAUGAUACGUUCACCAUUGUAUCCUUAGCACCUAGCCCAUAUAUAGCAUAGUAUUUGUGUAAUGAAUGAAUAAUACAUUGGAAUGGCUGAGACAGGGCUUAGGGAUAGAGCAGUGGCAACUAUGGUGGUUUUCUAGAUAUUGAGGUCUGAUGGCAGUGAGGACAAAAUACCUGUAAGACUUGAUCAAAAGCCGAAUAUACGAAGAGGAGAAUUCAAAGAUUACUCCCAAAUUCUUGAGCCUGAAUAACUGGGCAUAUGGAUGGUGUUUAAAUUUGGAGGGAAAGAUAUGAUAUUUAUUCUCAACAUUUUAAGUUCCAGUGUACAUCAAAAUGAAUCUGGGAGUGUUUCUGAACUGCAGAAGGAAUUUGGAAGUCAUCUUCAUAAACGUGCUGGUUAAAGCUGUGGAAAUAAAUGAGACUACAAAGAGAUACAGAGAAAGAUUCAGGCUGUGGAGAAGCCCUCCGUUAGGGAAAAGGAAGGGAAAGAGCCAAUAAAAGAGAUGUGUUGAUAGGAAGAUGCUGCAGUCGUUGAAACUGGUUGCAUAUGCCAAGAAUUGUAAAAAUUUCUAUUGUGAGAACUACAAAGACAUUAUUAUUGGUAUCUACCCUUUGUAGUAUAGUGCCUAUAUGUGUUUGAUGCCCAAAGACAACACAGUUGUUCUUUCAAUAACCCGCAUAAAGUACAGAUGUUUGAUUGGCGGGAUGGGAGACCUAGUCAUUUAAGACUACAAAAUUGUGGUUAAUUACUGGGAGAAAAUACUGAAGUUGUCAAGAAUUUCAUUUACUUGGCACCACAAUCAACACUCAUGGAAGCAGCAGUCAAGAAAUCAAACGACAUAUUGUAUUGGGUGAAUCUGCUACAAAAGACCUCUUUAAAGUGUUUAAAAAAAAAGAAAAAAAGCAAA
Long non-coding RNA from Loxodonta africana (African savanna elephant), 4288 nucleotides. RefSeq lists it as uncharacterized. The transcript is spliced from 2 exons. The record is from RefSeq and is a predicted model, not a curated record. Lineage: Eukaryota; Metazoa; Chordata; Mammalia; Proboscidea; Elephantidae.